CCUGGCUCAGGAUGAACGCUAGCGACAGGCCUAACACAUGCAAGUCAGGGGCAGCACGAGUAAGCUUGCUUACUUGGUGGCGACCGGCGCACGGGUGCGUAACAGGUGUGCAAUCUGUCCAUAAUCGGGAAUAGCCCAGCGAAAGUUGGAUUAAUGCUCCAUGUGAGUUUUAGAGGCAUCUCUUUAACUUGAAACGCAAGGAUUAUGGGUGAGCACGCUUCUGAUUAGGUAGUUGGUGAGGUAACGGCUCACCAAGCCGACGAUCAGUAGGGGUUCUGAGAGGAAGGUCCCCCACAUUGGAACUGAGACACGGUCCAAACUCCUACGGGAGGCAGCAGUGAGGAAUAUUGGUCAAUGGGCGAAAGCCUGAACCAGCCAAGUCGCGUGAAGGAUGAAGGUUCUAUGGAUUGUAAACUUCUUUUGUCUGAGGGUAAAAAGCGGACGUGUCCGUUCUUGCAAGUAUCAGACGAAUAAGCAUCGGCUAACUCCGUG
This 492-nucleotide ribosomal RNA is filed under the name uncultured bacterium. RNAcentral describes it as "bacterial SSU rRNA". It matches the Rfam family "Bacterial small subunit ribosomal RNA", at positions 18 to 507 of the family's 1533-position model. The record is from RNAcentral.